RNAcentral lists this ribosomal RNA (250 nucleotides) under uncultured Thermoplasmata archaeon. Its description in RNAcentral is "partial 16S ribosomal RNA". It matches the Rfam family "Archaeal small subunit ribosomal RNA", at positions 474 to 724 of the family's 1478-position model. Lineage: Archaea; Methanobacteriati; Thermoplasmatota; Thermoplasmata. The record is from RNAcentral.
UACCCGCAGCACGAGUGGUGGUCACUCUUAUUGGGCCUAAAACGUCCGUAGCCUGUCCAUUAAAUGCCUGGGUAAAUCGAUGCGCUCAACGUAUCGAAUUCCGGGUAGACUGGUGGACUUGAGACCGGGAGAGGUGUGGGGUACUCCAGGGGUAGGGGUAAAAUCCUGUAAUCCUUGGGGGACCACCAGUGGCGAAGGCGCCACACUGGAACGGUUCUGACGGUGAGGGACGAAGCCCUGGGGCGCAAAC